Molecule: long non-coding RNA, 215 nt
Filed under: Elaeis guineensis (African oil palm)
Lineage: Eukaryota; Viridiplantae; Streptophyta; Magnoliopsida; Arecales; Arecaceae
Description: long non-coding RNA (EGUI_LNC076987)
Source: RNAcentral
AUAGCGAUGUUGGAUCACAGUCCGUUUGUUUGAUGAUAGAUGAUGCGAUCCUGGAUGUCAUCCUCGGACGGCAGCUAGGGUUUGGGCAUAGCAUGCAUUCAAAAAAUCUCGCAGUUCGUCGUCCGAUCGAUCUGAUGAUGCUUCGGUGCCAGAGGCAGUCAGGAUAUCGAUGAGCAUGAUACAAGAUCAAAUUACUUAUUGGAUGAAUUGCAGUC